CCUGUCUUGGUUCAGUGACUGUGCAGGUCUGUUCUCACAUAGAACUCCUCUCCUUCAGCAUUCACAGUUUCCUGCAGCACUUGAACUCAGCACCGGACUUCCUUGAAAAACAGGCCCAGAGCAGCUGCUGGAGCAGAUCUGGGGCCUAUUCUACGAAGCAGGAUUACUGCUUAGCGAGGUUACUUCGAGAGUAAGUUCAAGGUUUCCUGUUUUACGACGCAGGUUCACUUCUUAGCAAGGCGAGUCUCCAUGGCAACGUAACGGCUAACCUGCUCCGGGGCAGGUUAGGUUCCAGAUUGAACUCACCGAGUAUAAAAACCCCGCCCACUGACCAAUGAGCACUCUCGUAAAAUGGCUUGUCCGUUCUUAGAGGAUUCUAUAGACCUCAGUGCUCGCAUUGUCCAAGGAGCCCUCCGGCACGCGAAAGUUUUCAGGGACUGCACGGACCCACUUACUUUUCCGGAUGACCACCUUUAUGAAAGGCUCAUAUGGCCUACAUAUUAAAAAAAAAAGGUGAACACGAUAGGAAUGAACAAAUGAAUUAAUUCAUCUUGGAAAUGAAUUAGACAUGUCUGGUGCAUGUUAAAAGCACAUGUUGAACAGUGCUAUUUCAGGGUGAUAAUGGCAUCAAAGCUUUUUUUGCGCAUUAUACUUACACAUUGAGACUGUCGGCAGUUUUCUGCCAGCAAUUCUUCUAUGCUUUUGCAGCGGCAACGAUGUUGUUGUCAUAGCAAAGCUGGAUCCACUUACGAGGUUGAUAACCAACAUCGUAAGACCGUUUAGCGAGACUGCUGGCUUCUGCGCUAAGUUGAGCCAGGUAGCUCCAAGGCUACCUCGCUAGGUCGAACUUUCUUGGUAGAAUAGGCCCCUGCACGCGCUCAUAUUCAAACAAUAGGACUUGUCCCGAGGUCUGUUCCAAUUGGAGGAAAAAACAUCAACAUCAUGUUCAGUUUCCAUUCAGCAGAGUUUCCUGCAGGAGUCCCAUAAUGUUGUGGAAAUUAUGUGGAGUAUAAAGCAGAUCAAUGCACAGGAGAUAGGAUGAGAUGUGAGGAGCAGCAUGGGCAUCUUUAUUUCGUAGAUACAGAAAUCAAUACAGUUGACACACAAAGUCUAGACCAGAGUCAAUGGAAGGGCCCCAACUUCUCCUUUCACUCACUUCUAAUACUGCUGAGUGGGUUCAUGAACAUAAUAGUGUUACAAUUGUGAGCUCCCUUGUGUGCUACCAUAGACUGUAUAUAGAAUGGAUGCCGUCUGCCUCCUUGCUGGGUGAAGCCACUCUGAGAACAGCACCCUCUGUUGAUGGGCUGCAGUAUAGGUCAUAAAUCCCGCCUCCGCCUACAAAGCUUGUGGGGCUGUGGAAAAACUUUUGAAAUUUAUUACACAGAACAUAGAUAUUUCACCCCCCUGCUUGUGGUGUUGUCAUGUAGUUACAGUAAGACUGGUUUGUGCUCAAGUCCUCUUUUUUCUGUGAAGCUCCGUUCUUAAAAGAUAUUAGGGGGCUCAUGUUUUCUUAUUUGACACCUGAUGGUGGUCUCUCCAAAUGUGGAGCGAUCACGUCUCCAUGCUGUUAGUGGGUGAGUAAAAGGACAGCACACCUGACACACCGCUGACAUCUGCAUACAGUCACAGGUUAACACGGACUGAGACUGGAGUGAUUCUGCCUCUGUGCCAUGUAUUUUUAAGGUAUCUCUAUGACCAUUUUGUCUGUUUCUCACUGAGUUUAUGGCCCUUUAUUUGCAAAAUAUCCCAAAUCCAUCAAUCAGUGAUGAAAACAAUGAGGGGUAUAAAGUCUGCUAGUCCGCUAAAACGGAUAGCCGCGAUCCGCGGUUUGAUUUCAUUCACGUUUUUUUUUUAUUUAACAACAAAACAGAGUGACAACAACAACAAAAACAACAACAACAAAAAAAUUACAAUAAAAAAUACUUUUGUGAGCGAGGGGAGGGGGAAAGAACAUAUAUAUAAUAAAGAAUUAAAAAAAAAUCUUAAUUAGAUUACGUUGAAACAUAUAUAUAAUCAUAACAAUAUCCAUCCACCCAUCUAUUUUCUACAACUUAUUCCCGUUCCCGGGGUCACAGGGGGGCUGGAGCCUUUCCCAGCAUCUUCAGGAGAUGGCAGGGGACACCCUGGACAAGUCGCCAGUUCAUCACAAGGCUGACAUAUAGAGACGAACAACCAUUCACGCUCACAUUCCCACCUAUAGGCAAUUUGGAAGUGGCCAAUUAACCUAACCCCACAGGGAGAACAUGCAAACGCCACACAGAAAUGCCCUGACCGAUUCGUGCCCAGGACCUUCUUGCUGUGAGGCGACAGUGCUAACCACUACAUCACUGUGCUGCCUCAAUAAUAAUUAGAUGUGUGUGUAUAUACACUCACCGGCCACUUAAUUAGGUACACCAUGCUAGUAACGGGUUGGACCCCCUUUUGCCUUCAGAACUGCCUCAAUUCUUCGUGGCAUAGAUUCAACAAGGUGCUGGAAGCAUUCCUCAGAGAGCUUGGUCCAUAUUGACAUGAUGGCAUCACACAGUUGCCGCAGAUUUGUCGGCUGCACAUCCAUGAUGCGAAUCUCCCGUUCCACCACAUCCCAAAGAUGCUCUAUUGGAUUGAGAUCUGGUGACUGUGGAGGCCAUUUGAGUACAGUGAACUCAUUGUCAUGUUCAAGAAACCAGUCUGAGAUGAUUCCAGCUUUAUGACAUGGUGCAUUAUCCUGCUGAAAGUAGCCAUCAGAAGUUGGGUACAUUGUGGUCAUAAAGGGAUGGACAUGGUCAGCAACAAUACUCAGGUAGGCUGUGGCGUUGCAACGAUGCUCAAUUGGUACCAAGGGGCCCAAAGAGUGCCAAGAAAAUAUUCCCCACACCAUGACACCACCACCACCAGCCUGAACCGUUGAUACAAGGCAGGAUGGAUCCAUGCUUUCAUGUUGUUGACGCCAAAUUCUGACCCUACCAUCCGAAUGUCGCAGCAGAAAUCGAGACUCAUCAGACCAGGCAACGUUUUUCCAAUCUUCUAUUGUCCAAUUUCGAUGAGCUUGUGCAAAUUGUAGCCUCAGUUUCCUGUUCUUAGCUGAAAGGAGUGGCACCCGGCGUGGUCUUCUGCUGCUGUAGCCCAUCUGCCUCAAAGUUCGACGUACUGUGCGUUCAGAGAUGCUCUUCUGCCUACCUUGGUUGUAACGGGUGGUUAUUUGAGUCACUGUUGCCUUUCUACCAGCUCGAACCAGUCUGGCCAUUCUCCUCUGACCUCUGGCAUCAACAAGGCAUUUCCGCCCACAGAACUGCCGCUCACUGGAUAUUUUUUCUUUUUCGGACCAUUCUCUGUAAACCCUAGAGAUGGUUGUGCGUGAAAAUCCCAGUAGAUCAGCAGUUUCUGAAAUACUGGACCAGCCCUUCUGGCACCAACAACCAUGCCACGUUCAAAGUCACUCAAAUCACCUUUCUUCCCCAUACUGAUGCUCGGUUUGAACUGCAGGAGAUUGUCUUGACCAUGUCUACAUGCCUAAAUGCACUAAGUUGCCGCCAUGUGAUUGGCUGAUUAGAAAUUAAGUGUUAACGAGCAGUUGGACAGGUGUACCUAAUAAAGUGGCCGGUGAGUGUAUAUAUAUAUAUAUAUAUACAGUAUAUAUGUAUGUAUACAUACACACACACACACACCCUGCACCGCCAAGAAGCAGGCCGACCAGCACCCAUGUCUACCGUGGUGGGACGCCCGUGGGGCACCCCACAGGGCCCCGCCCCGCGACCACCCACCAUCCGAACCGACCACCUACUCCACCCCUAAAUACACUGGGCCACACAUGACACUCCUCUUGUUUGUUGUUCAUGUGGUGCAUUCAAAACUUCACUGUGAUGUAUGCAUUAAAAAGUGGGGUGUGAAGAGUUGGUGUGUGAUGCGUUAAAAGUCGGAGAGGCAUGUGAAAUGGAACUGGCCCAGGGCAAAAAAGAAACUGGGGUAGAGUGGGGCCAAGAAGGGGCGGGGGACGCGGCCCGUGGCCCACACAGGAUCCCCACAUUCUGCUCCCACCAGGUCCAGGCAGCAGCAGGCAGGGCCAACCAAUCCCAGGACUCCAGGGAUUCAUGGGCGUCAGCCAGCCCGCCCCCCGGCGGCACAGGGACCCGCGCCAACCCCCAAUCCAGACCACACUGCAGCACACCACAAUGGCCUCCGCCAUUCCACACCCACCACCGCAAUCGCCACCACCACCACCACUACCAUCAUCAUUAUCAUUAUCACCAAUCCACCAUCACCACCACCACCGGCACACCGGUCAUCAUCAUUACCCCAUCACUACUACAUCUAUGACCCGGGGAGACCAUACAUACACAUAUAUACAUACGCACACGUGCACACACCCUCUAUGUUUAAUAAAGUACCUAUAAGAAACAAAACAAAAAGAAAAACAAACAAACAAACAAAAACAAACAAACAAAAAAACAAAACAAAACAUUUUCUUUCUUUUAUUUUUUUCCCCUCUAUUCCCCUCCCCUUAAUGUGUUUUAUUGAGUGUGUGUGUGUGUGUGUGUGUGUGUGUGUGUGUGUGUGUGUGUGUGUGUGUGUGUGUGUGUGUGUGUGUGUGUGUGUGUGUAUUCAAAACAUGUGUAGGGAUGUAUAAUUGAUUGGUUGGCUCUCAGACAGAAAAAUAAAUAAACAAAUAAAAACACACACAUAUAUAUAUAUAUAUAUAAAAAAAAGUCAAUGACAGUGGACCCGGGGGAUUGAGAUUCUGUUGUAGUAUGGAGAGGGGUGGGUGUAUACCCCAGAGAGAUGUGGUCAAUGAGCAGGUUUUUCCAAUGAGCCAGAUGAAUGGUGUUCCUAGAUUUCCAGUUCAUGAGGAUAGUUUUCUUGGCGAUAGUUAGGGCCAUGAGAAGAUGGUUAUUGUUUUUUUUGUCUAUUGUGACUGAUGAUAAGUCUCCUAGAAGCCAGAGUGAGGGGGAUAAAGGGAUGCAGCAGCCCAUGAAGUGUGAUAAUGACUCGGUGGCUAGUUUCCAGAAGUGUUUGAUUGGGGUGCAGUGCCAUGUGAUGGAGUGUAGGUGUCAGGACAGUUUUGAGUGCAGUGGGUGCAAAUUUCCAAGGUGAAGCCCAUUUUAAACAUUUUUUGUCCAGUGUAGUGAGUUCUGUGAAGCAUCUUAUAUUGAAUGAGUUGUAAGUCAGCAUUUUUAGUCAUGAGAUAAAUGUUUUUACAGAUUUGGGUCCAGAAGUCGGCAUCAGGAGCAAUUGACAGGUCUUGUUGCCAUUUUUUUGUGAUGGUAGAGAUAUGAUUUUGUCAGAUUGUAAUAUUAUUUUAUAUCUUUUAGAGAGGAGUUUUCUGGGGGAAAGGAUAUUAAUAAAUUCUGAUAUUGCAGGUGAAAGGUCUAGAUUUGUGGAUCUGAUGUUAAUUUUUGAUUUGACAGAUGACUUAAAGGGGACCUGCCAUCAAAAUUUCAUACCCAUUUUUAUCAUUUUUUCAGAAUCCUUGGUGUCCUCUGAUCAUGUUUGCAACAUAAUUUUAGCUGAAAAGUUAUUUGAUGGUUUGUUUCAAACCAUUUUAGUAUGCCUAAAAAACCUUACAGGAAAACCAACUGAUUUUGGCUCAUUAACAUUUAUGUUAAUGAGCUUUGCUCUGAUUGGAUCACUGCUGUGAAGCCUGCUGUGCUCUGAUUGGCUCAGCAGUGGAGGUUCUGAUUUCAGUUUAUCCAUUUUGCUAAUGUGUGCUAAAGUAAGGUGCCCAGAUGUCUGUAAUGAUAUCCGAGGAUAUUCGGUGCAGCGGCGGCGGGGAGGGUCCAGUGGCUGCAGGGGCUGCGUGAUCACAGACAAAAUCUUGGUACUAUUUGGUAGCAGAGCAUGCCCCUUGUAAUAACCCCCCGUAACAACUGUUGUUCAGGACUGCUUACUUGUGCUUCCUAUCCAUUCGGCUACAAUAAUAACCGUUGUUCGAGCCCACACGCAACAUUUUUGUUCUCAUUCAUGAAACGCUUAAAUCGGGGACAGCUUUUGCCGGGGGACAGGUCAUCCCCUGAAAUCGGGGACGUCUGGUCACCUUAUGCUAAAAAUGGCAGGUAUUAAACCAUAUAUUUUAGACCCCAAGUCCGAAGAGGAGGUGGAAGUUGAAGAAGAAGCCGGAGAUCUCCAGCGGUGUUUUCAUUCAUUCUGCCCAGCUUUAAGUUCAUUUUCCAGGCAGUGAACCCAAGGAAACACCGGUCGUUUGGAAGAGACCCAUAGCGGUCAUACAGUGGUAGCUGGGUCUCGCUCCGGCUGGAGAGUGAUUUUGACUGUGAAUGAGUACGAGAAUGAGAGAGUGGGCGCGGCUAACCGAGGACGCGCUUGUGAAUAAUAAUGAGCAAGGUCAGCGUGACAUCAGAGGGACCUGCUUUUUCAAUUGGCCUGGUUUAUCCGUUCUUUUAUUUUAAAACUUUACAGAAUGCAAACGACGUAAUGGUUUGUUUUCACAUUUACAACAUAAGACGAACAUAAUAUGGACCUUAUCUGACACAAAAAACACACAAAAUUACAAUUUUGAUGGCAGGUCCCCUUUAAGUUUUUUAUUCCAGAAAUUGAUUACUCCCAAUGCCGUACUCCUGGACCAAUAGGGGAAAUGAUAUCAGGGUGUUAUUAUGGAAAAUGUGUUUAAGGUGUGUGAUGCCCUUUCUUGUCCAUGUGUGAAAGUUGAGUGCUUUUUUGUUGCAAAGGAGGUCGGAAUUAUUCCAAAUGGGGGUGAAGUUAGAUGGUGAAAGAGUGGUAUUUGUGAUUUUGUGAAAUUUCCACCAGGCUGUCAGAGCAGAUGCUAUUGUUAUUGCUUUGAAACAAGGGUGGCGUUUGAUUGAUUGACUGAGAAAUGGAAUGUCUGAAAACUGGAUAUCUGUACUAUGUCUAACCAGGUGUGAUCUGAGUAAUCGGUGUGUGUCCAUUUGUAUAUAUACUGUAGUUGAUUUGCCAGAGAGUAAUAGCUCAAAUGUAGUGCAUCUAAUCCGCCUUGUAAUUUGGGUUUUUGAAGUGUGGCCAGUUUGAUCCUUGGUGUUUUAUUUUUCCAGUAAAAUUUAGUGAUUAUUGAGUCUAGAGAGUUGAACCAGGUGGAAGUGGGAUGGGUUGGGAUCAUUGAAAAAAGAUACUUUAUUUUAGGUAGUAUUUUCAUUUUAAUUGUUGCUAUUCUGCCUCGAAUGGAUUGUGGCAGCUUCAUCCAGCGUUGGAGGUUGUCAUCUAUUGUUUUAAGUAGAAUAGAAUAGAAUAGAAUAUUCCUUUAUUGAUCCCCCAUGGGGGAAAUUUUUUUUGUCACAGCAGCAUCACAGGCAAAGUGCAAAAAUGCAGUUAUAAAAAUAAGGGUCCUAAUAUUAAGAACUUAAUAAAUGUAAUAAUUAAGAAAAAAUUUAGAAAAAGGAAAAAAAGGAGAAGAAAAAUAAAACUAUAAACAAUAUACACAAUUUAAAUGCCAGAAAAAAGUGGUGGUGUCAGUCCAGUUAUUAUUACAGUUCGUUUUAAAGUCUUAUUUUUGGGGAGGAAUGACCUGCGGUAGCGCUCUGUCCUGCAAGGUGGAAGUCUAAGUCUGCUGCUGAAGGAGCUGCUUAAAGCCCCCACAGUCUGGUGCAGUGGGUGAGAGGGAUUGUCCAUGAUGGAUACAAGCUUUGUUAACAUCCUCCUCUCACCCACCUCCUCCAGGGAGUCCAAAGAACAGUCCAGGACAGAACUGGCCCUCCUGACCAGUCUAUUCAGUCUCAUCCUGUCCCUCUCGGUAGUGGAGUGAAGUUUAGUUCUAUCAGCUCUGACAACCUGGAGGAAAUGUUGAUACCCAAAUAUGUGAAGUGACCUGUGCAUAGAGGAAUUGCUGAUGUAUGGGCUGUCGCAUCCCAUCUGGUGUGAAUCUUUGUGAUGUUAGACUAUUAGAGGUGACGGUGGCUGAUGGUGAGGUGUACAGAAUUUUGAUCCAGUUAAUGAAUGAUUCCCCAAAGCCAAAUUUCUGUAAUGUGUGGAAGAAAAAUUUCCAGUUUACCCUGUCAAAAGCUUUUUCUGCAUCUAAAGUGACUAUGAUGGUGUCUUCCCGUUGUAAUGAUGAGUAAUGGAUUAAACUGAACAGUCUACGUGUAUUGUUGGAUGCCUGUCUACCUUUAAUGAAGCCGGUCUGAUCUGGGUGAAUUAUUCGAGGUGUGACUUUUUCUAACCUACGUGCAAGAGCUUUACUGAUGAUUUUCAUGUCUACGUUGAUUAAUGAGAUAGGACAAUAAUUUGAUGGAAAGGUGUGAUCUUUAUUUGGUUUUGGUUUUGGGAGAAGUGAGAUUAAAGCUGUGUUCAUAUGUAUUGGGAACUUAGAGUUUUGUGUUAUUUCAGUUAUUGUUUUCAUGAAGAGUGGGGAUAAAAUGGACCAGAAGUGUUUGUAGAACUCGGCAGGGAAGCCGUCGGGACCUGGUGCUAAAUUGUUUGGCAUGAGAUUGAGUGCGGUAGAGAGUUCUCUUUCUGUGAUUGGUGAGUCGAGUGUAUUGACCUGAUCUGUAUUAAAUUGUGGAAGUUUAAUGUCUUUAAAAAAUGAAUCAAUAUCCUCCUGUCUUGGGUCAUUAUCAGAUGAGUAUAAUUUGGCGUAAAAGUUUCUAAAUAUUUCAUUUAUUUCCUGCUGUGAGUUGGUGGGGUUCCCUGGUAAGUUCUUAGGUUCUUAAGUCCAAAGUCUGUUCCUUUAAGUUGUCUGCCUUGUCGUUCUACCAGUUCAUUGUGCUUGUACUGCUAAAAUUGGACGAUGAUGGGCCGGGGUUGGUUGGUGUUGGUGUGUUUUUGUCCCAGACGGUGAAGAUGGUGAAAAGAGAUGGUGUUGACGGUGUCAGGGGUAAGUUUGAGCCGUGUGAUCAUUAACUCCUUUACUGCUGUUUCAGGUUGGUCCAUGGAUGGCUUGGGAAUGCCGGUGAAGAUCAGGUUGUCUCUCAUGCUGCGUGACUGUAAAGCCAGGAUGGUUUCUUUCACGUUGACUGCGAUCAAUACGAGUGGUGACAGUGGACGCUUUUCCACAUUCCACAAGAAGGAAAUAUUUGAAAUAUAUCUCCUUUAACACCAAUAUUUUAGUUUCUACUUAUUAAAAGCGUGGAUCAUAGUUGUGGAGACGUCCACACAAACAUUGAAUACAACCAACAAGCGAGGUGUAUAGGCUGUCACAAGAUAACACAGGUAACAUGUAGAGUACACCUGACCUUGCACUGUAUUUAAACGCAUUCCACAAACAUUUUCACACUGCCUGUGGUACUGUGAGUACUACCCACGCACCUAUUGAUCACAAAGAUACCGCAAAAUAAGUUCCUCUCACAACGAAAAGGUUUGUUAAAUUUCUCACUCAGUGACAGCUAUAUUUUGGACAGGCAUUUACACGGUCACCAAUUUGCGUCUUCUUAUGUUUCAUGCUUUCAUCUUCAUCUUUGACCCAAUAAACUCAUUCCCCCUAACAUUCAUGUCUCAAAGGCCCUAUAAGUUGAUACGAUCAGGUUGACACACUGGCAAAAACACAGACGAUACAACUUCCGGGUCACGACGAGCAUACCAAUUAAAUAAUAAAAACAAAAUCAGCCCGUGGCCCAUAAUUCAAGUUCUGUUUAUUUGAUCUAUGUUAACUGACGGAAUAUUGGAAAACUAACAAAUUUUCAUUUAUUUGUUUUCUUUUCAAAGAGGGAAAAAAGGAAAACAAACCUUUUUUCAAUGUUUUGUUUUCUGAUUCUUGAUUGAAUAUCAAUUGAACGAAUGGUACACGGAUUAUACAUGGACCCUGGCUCAUUUUCUGAUUCCGAUGGGAUAAAUGGAUAACGACAGUUUUAUCUGUCGUUAUCCAGCUGUGUGUCUGAUACGUGUCCUUUUCUCCUCAGGUUGUUUUGGGCACAGAACCUUCUGACAGACAUUUCAGAUCACCUCGGCACUCCUGCCUCCUGUAGUGUAGUCAAAUCUCUGUAUGAGUUUUGCAAUCCUAAAAAAAAGUGCUGUAUGGGCUCUGAAUAAUUCUUGGGUCUAGCCAUGACACCAAAGGUUCACUUCCGGGUCACAAAACUUUAUACAGUUAUCAAUUUUUUCAUUUUUGUUUUAGAGACAAAUAUUUAGAAAACAGUUGGUUUUCUCGUCUUUUCAUUUUUGGUUUUAUUUUGAAAAUCAAAUGAAAGAAUGAUACACGGAUUAAAAAAACCUGAAGAGGAAUAAGUGAAGAAAAUAGAGAAAAAUCUAAACAGGGAAAAUUAAGAAGAAAAAGAAGGAGAACCGAGUAGAAUAAAAACAAAGGGGAAAAUCUAAAGUGAAAAAAACUUGAAAAAGAAAAACUUAAAAGGUAAAACAAAAUGUGAAAACUUCAGGGGAAAAUCUAAAAAGGAAAAACUGAAGUGAAAAAAAGGGGAAAAACUUAAGAGAAUAAAGCUUAAGAGAAAAAAUUUAGAGGGAAAACUGAAGGUUAAAAAAAACCUGAAGGGAAAAGUGAAGAGAAAAAAAAACAAAGAGGAGAUUUCAAAGAGGGAAAACUGUGGAGAAAAAAAAACAAGAAGGGAAAAUUGAAAAGGAAAAGGAAAAACUGAAGUGAAAACAAUGAGGAGGAAAAAUGUACAGGACUACAUUAAGUUCUGUUUGGGAACUGCAUCUGUGGACAAAGUCAUCCAGGUAUAUCCCAACCAGAAACCAGCCAGGUCUACUCAUUCCUUAAAGCCCGCUUUCAGGUCAGGUGACAAAGCUCUCUACAGUGUGGCUCGAACUGACCUGAAGAAAGGGAUUAAAAAUGCCAAAGUGGACUACAAGAGGAGGAUAGAGUCCCGUCUUGCCAGCAACAUGGGGAGGUGUGGCAGGGUCUUCAGGACAUCACUAACUUCAAGCUGUGAUGUGACGUCAGGAGACCUGAGUAUGUAGCUGGCAGAGGAGGUCAACAGCUUCUUUGCCCGUUUGAAACACCACCGCAAUGACACUCCUCUUCUGCUCCAGCCCUGCCCCUGCCCCUGGCCCUAUCGAAGUACCUGUAAAGGCGCUCAGAGCAUGUGCCCACCAGCUGUCCCACAUCUUUUGCAGGAUCUUCAACCUGUCCCUGGCCCAGUCAUUCCCACCUGCCUGAAGUCGGCCACUAUCAUCCCCAUACCAAAGACAACACCAACAUCUAGCCUCAGCGACUACCGCCCUGUGGCCCUCACACCCGUCACUAUGAAGUGCUUUGAGAGACUGGCUCUCCAGCACAUCAAGGACUGUCUCCCCCCCCCCCCCCAUACGUGACACCCACCAGUUUGCAUAAUGGGCAAACAGAUCCUCAGAGGACGCCAUCACCAUAGCGCUGCAUGCUGUGCUGUGUCACCUGGAACAACAGGAGAGCUAUGCCAGAAUGCUCUUUGUGGACUACAGCACAGCGUUCAACACCAUCAUCCUGGACAUCCUGAUCACUAAACUAGCCACCCUGGGCCUAGACUCGGCCCCCAUCUUUCCUCCACCCACACUCUGAGCACCGGUUCACCACAAGGUUGCAUGCUGAGCCCCCUCUGUACACCUAUGCCUGCAGUCCGGCCCACGGUAAAAACAUCAUUGUCAAUUGCUGAUGACACCACGAUGGUCAGAGGGAAACGAGGCAGCCUACAGGGCAGAGGUCCAGAGGCUAACCCCCUGGUGCUCUAACAAUAAUCUGGCACUGAACGUGAGGAAAACAAAAGAGAUCAUCGUGGACUUCAGAAGGAACCACUUGGACAGGGACCUACUGCUGGCCUUCUACCACUCAUCCAUUGAGAGCCUGCUGACUUUAGCCAUUACUUCAUCUCCCCCUGGUACAAGAGAUGCACCGAGGCGGACAGAGGGAGGCUCCAGAGGACAGUCAAAAAAGCACAGAGGAUUAUUGGCUGCCCUCUCCCCUCCCUGAUGGACAUCUACUCACCCUGGUGCCUCAGGAGUGCUCACAACAUCAUCCAGGACACUUCACACCCGAUUGCCCAGCUAUUUGACCUACUGUCCUCUGAGAGGCAUUACAGGUGCAUCGAAGCAAGGACUAACAGAGUGAAAAACUCUUUCUUCCCGAGAGCCAUCACCACUUUGAACUCCCAUAGACAACAACCCCAGCCUUCAAUAUGAGGCAGCAAGUGCAAUAUACUUACCACUACCACUGCUGCUGCAUUAUCAUCUGUGACUAUUGUAUUUCAUCUGUAAAUAUUAACCGUGACUUGCACUAUAAGAAUCCAGUAAUAUAUAUUUCUAUAUCCUUAAAAAACUAAUAGGAAAAAAAUAAAAAAACAACAACAAAAAAGAAAACUAAAGGGAAAAACAUAAAAGAAAAAACUAAAAAAUGAAAACAGAAACAAAAACUGAAAAGGAAAAACUAACGGGAAAAAACUAAGUGAAAAAACUCUAGAGAAAAAACUGAAGAAAGAAAAAACUGAAGAAAAAAACAAAGAGAAAAAAAUUGAAAAAGAAAAACUUAAAAGGAAAAAAAGACAUUAAAACUUAGAAGGAAAAACUUCGGAGGAAAAUUGAAUAGGAAAAACUUAAAAAAUAAUCACCAAAGAACAACUGAAAAGGGGGAAACAGAAAAAAAUGAUCAAGGUAAACAAAACUGAAAAGGGGAAACUAAAAAUGGAAAAACUGAAGAGGUCAAACUAAAAAGGAAAAACCGAAGAAAUAAAACUAAAAAGGAAAAACUGAAGAAAGGAACCUUAAAGGGAAAAAACUUGAGAAAAAAAAACUAAAAAAAGGAAAUUAAAAUUAAGAGGAAAAACUGUAGAAGAAAAUCGACAGAUAAAAAAGAGGGUGAACUAUAGAAGUAAGAGUAAAUUGGACAAAGUAAAGAUAAAAAACUGAUGAGAAAUAAUAAAAGGGGAAAAACUAGAAAGUAAACUUGAGGAAAAAAAUAAGAGGCAAAACUGACGGGCUGUUAAAACCUGAAGAAAAAAUGAAGAGAAAAAAAACAAAGAGGAAAAUUCAAAGAGGAAAAUCUAUGGAGAAAAAAAAAAGGAUAACUGAAAAGGAAAAACUAAAGAUGAGAAACUUAAGAAGGAAGAGUAAAGUGGGCAAACUGAAGAUGAAAACUGAAGAGGAAAAUUUAAGAAAAAACAUCUAAAGAGCAAAAACUUAUACAACAGAAGAAAAACUAAAUGGUACAAAAUCUGUGAUCAAAAAACUGAGAAGGAAAAACUGAAGAGAAAAAAGCUAUAGAGCAAAGUGAAGCCAAAAAACAAAGAGGAAAAUCCAAAAAAGGAAAACUGAAGAUAGGGAUAACUGUAGAAAGGGAUAACUAAGAAGUAAAAACAAAAAGAGAAAGCUAAACAAGGAAAACUUGAAGAGUAAAAAUGAAAAAGGAAAAAUAAAAUAAAAUCAAAUAAAGCAACCCGAUUGGAAGUGAAGACAAUACUCAGGCGCUGAGACUGAGGGCUGCUGGCUUCUUAAAGUGAUUUUUUUUCAGCUGAAAUAAUUUUUCGUUAGAAGGGACUUCUGGUAGUCGGAUUUAGUUGCUGGAAGCUUUUUUUUCGCUCCAUUCAUUCCGUAAGAAUUGAAUUUAUUAUUGAGCUAAAAACCAAAAUAAAACCUUUAUGUAUUAUUUAUAACUACUGUUUUGUUCUGAUUUAAUUCUGAAGUUUACAGUAAUAUGUAUAUAUAGACUGAUGUCCUGAUAGCCUGAUAAUUAUACAGCAAACAUGAUUUAUGACAUGGUGUGCUUCCUGGUGAGCCUCUUCAGGAUUGCUUGACUGUGGAAAAUGCAAAUAUACAAUAAUUGUAGAGACACAAGACACAUGAUCUGUUCAAGGUUCAGAAGAGCCAUUUAGGAAAAACACUUGAAUUGCGAUAUCAGAGGGACAGGAAGAGACUGAAUAGACUGGUCAGGAGGGCCAGUUCUGUCCUGGACUGUUCUUUGGACUCCCUGGAGGAGGUGGGUGAGAGGAGGAUGUUAACAAAGCUUGUAUCCAUCAUGGACAAUCCCUCUCACCUACUGCACCAGACUGUGG
RNAcentral lists this long non-coding RNA (13868 nucleotides) under Xyrichtys novacula (pearly razorfish). The record is from RNAcentral. Lineage: Eukaryota; Metazoa; Chordata; Actinopteri; Labriformes; Labridae.